Molecule: ribosomal RNA, 451 nt
Filed under: uncultured bacterium
Lineage: Bacteria
Description: bacterial SSU rRNA
Rfam family: Bacterial small subunit ribosomal RNA
Source: RNAcentral
GUGGGGAAUAUUGGACAAUGGGGGGAACCCUGAUCCAGCCAUGCCGCGUGUGUGAAGAAGGCCUUUUGGUUGUAAAGCACUUUAAGCGAGGAGGAGGCUACCGAGAUUAAUACUCUUGGAUAGUGGACGUUACUCGCAGAAUAAGCACCGGCUAACUCUGUGCCAGCAGCCGCGGUAAUACAGAGGGUGCAAGCGUUAAUCGGAUUUACUGGGCGUAAAGCGCGCGUAGGUGGCCAAUUAAGUCAAAUGUGAAAUCCCCGAGCUUAACGUGGGAAUUGCAUUCGAUGCGGGUUGGCUAGAGUAUGGGAGAGGAUGGUAGAAUUCCAGGUGUAGCGGUGAAAUGCGUAGAGAUCUGGAGGAAUACCGAUGGCGAAGGCAGCCAUCUGGCCUAAUACUGACACUGAGGUGCGAAAGCAUGGGGAGCAAACAGGAUUAGAAACCCGGGUAGUCC